GAUGAACGCUGGCGGCGUGCCUAAUACAUGCAAGUCGAGCGAACAGAUGAGGAGCUUGCUCCUCUGACGUUAGCGGCGGACGGGUGAGUAACACGUGGAUAACCUACCUAUAAGACUGGGAUAACUUCGGGAAACCGGAGCUAAUACCGGAUAAUAUAUUGAACCGCAUGGUUCAAUAGUGCAUGACGGUUUUGCUGUCACUUAUAGAUGGAUCCGCGCCGCAUUAGCUAGUUGGUAAGGUAACGGCCUACCAAGGCAACGAUGCGUAGCCGACCUGAGAGGGUGAUCAGCCACACUGGAACUGAGACACGGUCCAGACUCCUACGGGAGGCAGCAGUAGGGAAUAUUGCGCAAUGGGCGAAAGCCUGACGGAGCAACGCCGCGUGAGUGAUGAAGGUCUUCGGAUCGUAAAACUCUGUUAUUAGGGAAGAAAAAAUGUGUAAGUAACUAUGCCCGUCUUGACGGUACCUAAUCAGAAAGCCACGGCUAACUACGUG
RNAcentral lists this ribosomal RNA (497 nucleotides) under uncultured bacterium. Its description in RNAcentral is "partial 16S ribosomal RNA". It matches the Rfam family "Bacterial small subunit ribosomal RNA", at positions 28 to 507 of the family's 1533-position model. The record is from RNAcentral.